AGAAUCAACGCUGGCGGCGUGCCUCAGACAUGCAAGUCGAACGCGAAAGUCCCCUUCGGGGACAAGUAGAGUGGCGCACGGGUGAGUAACACGUAGGUAAUCUACCUUCGGAUGGGGAAUAACAACCGGAAACGGUUGCUAAUACCGCAUAAUGCAGCGGCACCUAAUGGUGACAGUUGUUAAAGCGGGGGAUCGAAAGACCUCGCGUCUGAAGAGGAGCCUGCGGCGGAUUAGCUAGUUGGUCAGGUAAUGGCUUACCAAGGCUACGAUCC
Molecule: ribosomal RNA, 272 nt
Filed under: uncultured soil bacterium
Lineage: Bacteria
Description: partial 16S ribosomal RNA
Rfam family: Bacterial small subunit ribosomal RNA
Source: RNAcentral